AUCAACUUUCGAUGGUAGGAUAGAGGCCAACCNUGGUGGUAACGGGUAACGGGGUGUUAGGGCACGACACCGGAGAGGGAGCCUGAGAAACGGCUACCACAUCCAAGGAAGGCAGCAGGCGCGCAAAUUACCCAAUCCCGACACGGGGAGGUAGUGACAAUAAAUAACAAUACAGGGUUCUUUUGGAUCUUGUGAUUGGAAUGAGUACAAUUUAAAUCUCUUAACGAGGAACAAUUGGAGGGCAAGUCUGGUGCCAGCAGCCGCGGUAAUUCCAACUCCAAUAGCGUAUAUUAAAGUUGUUGCAGUUAAAAAGCUCGUAGUUGAAUUUCGGGAUCAAUAUUUCGGUCAUGCCGUUGGUAUGCACUGUUAUCAUUGAUUUCUCACCUUCUAAAGAACCGUAAUGCCAUUAAUUUGGUGUUACGGGGAAUUAGGACUGUUACCUUGAAAAAAUUAGAGUGUUUAAAGCAGGCUCACGCUUGAAUACAUUAGCAUGGAAUAAUGAAAUAGGACAUCCGAUUCUAUUUUGUUGGUUUCUAGGAUCGAUGUAAUGAUUAAUAGGGAUAGUUGGGGGCAUUAGUAUUCAAUUGUCAGAGGUGAAAUUCUUGGAUUUAUUGAAGACUAACUACUGCGAAAGCAUUUGCCAAGGAUGUUUUCAUUAAUCAAGAACGAAAGUUUAGGGGAUCGAAGACGAUCAGAUACCGUCGUAGUCUUAACCAUAAACUAUGCCGACUAGGGAUCGGAUGAUGUUAAUUUUUUAAUGACUCAUUCCGGCGCCUUACGGGAAACCAAAGUGUUUGGGUUCAAUCACUAGUGAAUUCGCGGCGCCUGCAGGUCGACCAUUAUGGGAGAGCUCCCCACCGCCGUGGAUGCAUAGCUUGAAGUAUUCUCAUAG
This 892-nucleotide ribosomal RNA is filed under the name Glomus sp. MC10. RNAcentral describes it as "bacterial SSU rRNA". It matches the Rfam family "Eukaryotic small subunit ribosomal RNA", at positions 314 to 1831 of the family's 1831-position model. The record is from RNAcentral. Lineage: Eukaryota; Fungi; Glomeromycota; Glomeromycetes; Glomerales; Glomeraceae.